UAAAAAAAAUGCUUAGCCAGGGGUCACC
RNAcentral lists this non-coding RNA (28 nucleotides) under Mus musculus (house mouse). Lineage: Eukaryota; Metazoa; Chordata; Mammalia; Rodentia; Muridae. The record is from RNAcentral.